This 253-nucleotide ribosomal RNA is filed under the name uncultured bacterium. RNAcentral's name for it is "partial 16S ribosomal RNA". It matches the Rfam family "Bacterial small subunit ribosomal RNA", at positions 524 to 776 of the family's 1533-position model. The record is from RNAcentral.
UACAGAGGUGGCAAGCGUUGUUCGGAAUUACUGGGCGUAAAGGGCGCGUAGGCGGCUUGGUCAGUCCCGUGUGAAAUCCCUCGGCUCAACUGAGGAACUGCACGGGAAACUGCCUGGCUUGAGUUCGGGAGAGGAUAGCGGAAUUCCCAGUGUAGAGGUGAAAUUCGUAGAUAUUGGGAAGAACACCGGUGGCGAAGGCGGCUAUCUGGACCGACAUUGACGCUGAGGCGCGAAAGCGUGGGGAGCAAACAGG